This is a non-coding RNA of Microcebus murinus (gray mouse lemur), 1962 nucleotides long. The record is from RefSeq and is a predicted model, not a curated record. Lineage: Eukaryota; Metazoa; Chordata; Mammalia; Primates; Cheirogaleidae.
CAUUCAUGCGGUACAGGUGUGGUCCAACUCACAUCCGGUCUGGCUUAGGAAGAAGCAUAUGACUAGGCGUAGCCAAUCAGAGCAUUCCACUCUCCUUCCCAUACUGAUUGGUCCAGGGAAGGAUAUGUAAAUCAAGUUGAAACAAUCAAAAUCUCCUGAAUGAAUGUAAAGCUGAAACAGCCAACAGCCACCACAGGGGAGUCUGUCUACAGUUAGAGCCAACAUCUAAAGACCCAGCCAAGAAACAGAGAUGGAUUCCAAUGACAUGGGGGUGUCUGGAUCAAGCCAUGCCUGAUGUCAGUCAUACCCAUGGACUUCUAAAUUAUGACUCCAAGUGAGAACAGGGAGGGUGAGCUAAUGAUUCGCCGCGUAUCUCUGAUGAGUACUAUAUUAUUUGCAUCAUAAUAUUUUCAUUUCUUCCCCCUGCACAUAAUGCCACGUUGACAGCAAGCUUCCGACAAUGUUCCUGAAAUUUCAUCCUCCCCACCCUGUGACGAUUUCCCCUCGUUGUAGAGAAGAGGUGGCUGAUGCUCAGGGAAGCAACACAUCUUGUUUAGGAGAGCACAACCAGGAGACAAGAAAACAGGAUGUGUUGCAACCACAAGAUAGAAUAUAUAGGCAACUCAUAGACACCUAAUGAAAUCCUAGAAUGACACACUGAAAACAAGAGGAAGAAGAGGAGGAGGAAGAAGGGGAAGAGAAGGAGAGGCAGCUGCCACGGCCACCUAAGUGAAUUGCUUGAAAUAGAAAGAGAAGCUAUUCAAUAAAUGAUAACUCUAGGACAGAAACUGGGAAAACCAAAUUAUGACUCAAAAACUGAAAAGUACAGCAUGUCAGAUAUUGCUUUUGUGGGCAAGCUAAAGAUUAAGCAGCUACCUGCGUUUUAAAGCAUCGAGGAUCUGGGCUUGAGGAAACUCUAUGGCACAUCCUGCUCUGUAAAUCAUGGAAAAGUCAUCUUAGCUGCCCUUCUUAAAGCCUCCUACCUUUGCCUCCUUAUCAGACAGGACUACUAAGUGGUCAUAAACUCCCGUGACUAUAUAAACAUUCCAGUGAGGCUGGCCCUGUUCAAAUCCUUUCCAAAGCUCCUCUUUGGGAAGCACUGGGCACUUCACUAGAGACCAGUUGCCUUGUGUCACAGCUCCAUUUUUUAUUCAAAAUGGCAUCUCCUACCUUUCCCAGCUCCCCAGCUCCAGUUCCUAAUAAUUUCUGCUUGUUUCAAAAGCUCACAGGCCUUACAUGUGUAAGCCAUGCCUGGAAAUUAUUAUGUGAAAGAGUUUAAAAACUAAAUUGAAAGCUGUCCUUGAUAACCUGGCUAAAGGUCGUGCUGGAGUUUGUAAGACAGGAGUUGGGUGGGCACCGAAGGUUUCUGGAAGGUGACACUCACUGCAGGGGAGAGUGAGCGGGUGAGAACCAACAGGGGGAACAAGAGGGAGUCAGGGAGUCGGCAGGAACUUGAGAAGAGGCACAGGGAAGGCAGAGGCCGGACCCCUGCAUGUGUGUGGGUCAGAGGUUAAUUAGAGUCUAAGAGAAGAAAAGUCUAUGUAGGUUUGGUGUGGGGUACUUGGAAAGGGACCAGCGUCAGAUUUCUGGGGUCCAGGCAGGGCCACAGUGCUCACCCUUUGCUCCACAGAAAGAGUGGGCCACGGGCAUGCAGGUCACUAUGGCCACAGACUGUAAGGCCACUUUCCCUCCUGACUACCCUCCAACUUCCGCCCUCCCAGGGAGUAAGAGAAAUGCACCAACAGAGCAGGGAAGAGGAGUCACAGAGGGCUUGGAAGAUGUAACGGUAGCAAAUAACAUUUACUGCCCCUUCACUACCUGUACGCACUGGGUAGCCUUUCUCUUAUUUAACCUCACGGCAAUCCCUGGAGGAUACAUAUACCGAGCAUUAACAAUUCUCUAGGCCAGGCACAGUGGCUCACGCCUGUAAUCCUAGCACUCUGGGAGGCUGAGACAGGAGGA